GAUGAAGAACGCAGCGAAAUGCGAUAAGUAAUGUGAAUUGCAGAAUUCAGUGAAUCAUCGAAUCUUUGAACGCACCUUGCGCCCUUUGGCUAUUCCAGAGGGCAUGCCUGUUUGAGUAUCAUGAACACCUCAACUCUCAUGGUUCUGCCAUGAUGAGCUUGGACUUUGGAGGUCUUGCUGGCCCCUGUGGUCAGCUCCUCUCAAAUGGAUCAGCUUGCCAGUGUUUGGUGGCAUCACAGGUGUGAUAACUAUCUACGCUUGUGGUUUUCCACCAGGUAACCUUCAGUGAUGGAGGUUCGCUGGAGCUCAUAAACGUCUCUCCUCAGCGAGGACAGCUUCUUGAACGUUUGAUCUCAAAUCAGGUAGGGCUACCCGCUGAACUUAAGCAUAUCAAUAAGCGGAGGA
RNAcentral lists this unclassified non-coding RNA (405 nucleotides) under soil metagenome. RNAcentral's name for it is "partial contains 5.8S ribosomal RNA, internal transcribed spacer 2, and large subunit ribosomal RNA". The stretch from base 1 to 121 matches the Rfam family "5.8S ribosomal RNA", at positions 35 to 154 of the family's 154-position model. The record is from RNAcentral.